Polypterus senegalus (gray bichir) is the source of this 481-nucleotide long non-coding RNA. RefSeq lists it as uncharacterized. The record is from RefSeq and is a predicted model, not a curated record. The transcript is spliced from 3 exons. NCBI's taxonomy places the organism in Eukaryota, Metazoa, Chordata, Cladistia, Polypteriformes, Polypteridae.
AGAUGAAGAGGAGUGUAUUUGCUUUCCAGUCUUUUCAUCUUUGCUUCAAGCCGUUCCCCCUCUAAAUGGUGAAUAAAAAUGACCAGAAGCUGUAAGGCGCCUCCAUAAUUUGGAAAACAGCCCGCAUAAAUAUGAUCCAUAAACUGGAAUAAGUUCACCUCCUAACCAGGCAGUAAUGACAUAUCUGCUGGAGGAAUUGAAGACGACUUUUGCAGAUGCAGACCCUGAGUGUAUAAAGAGUAAUUUAUGCACUUAAUAUUUGUAUAUAAAGGGGAAUUGUUAUUAUAAUUAUGUUCAUGUCCCCUUUAUUGUUGUCCCUCUUAUAAUUUGAAUUAAUUUUGUCACUUAUAUGAAUUAUUUUUUUAUUCAGCAUGCUGUAGGACUUACUAUGAGACAUUGCAGAGGAAAUACUUUGUCUCAGCCAGAAAAGUGCCAGCUAAGAGACUCCAUUAAGAUAGGGGCUUAAAACCGACAACGGAAA